Molecule: ribosomal RNA, 1470 nt
Filed under: Mycobacterium tuberculosis
Lineage: Bacteria; Bacillati; Actinomycetota; Actinomycetes; Mycobacteriales; Mycobacteriaceae
Description: bacterial LSU rRNA
Rfam family: Bacterial large subunit ribosomal RNA
Source: RNAcentral
AGGAAGGUAGCCGUACCAGUCAGUGGUAACACUGGGGCAAGCCGGUAGGGAGAGCGAUAGGCAAAUCCGUCGCUCACUAAUCCUGAGAGGUGACGCAUAGCCGGUUGAGGCGAAUUCGGUGAUCCUCUGCUGCCAAGAAAAGCCUCUAGCGAGCACACACACGGCCCGUACCCCAAACCGACACAGGUGGUCGGGUAGAGCAUACCAAGGCGUACGAGAUAACUAUGGUUAAGGAACUCGGCAAAAUGCCCCCGUAACUUCGGGAGAAGGGGGACCGGAAUAUCGUGAACACCCUUGCGGUGGGAGCGGGAUCCGGUCGCAGAAACCAGUGAGGAGCGACUGUUUACUAAAAACACAGGUCCGUGCGAAGUCGCAAGACGAUGUAUACGGACUGACGCCUGCCCGGUGCUGGAAGGUUAAGAGGACCCGUUAACCCGCAAGGGUGAAGCGGAGAAUUUAAGCCCCAGUAAACGGCGGUGGUAACUAUAACCAUCCUAAGGUAGCGAAAUUCCUUGUCGGGUAAGUUCCGACCUGCACGAAUGGCGUAACGACUUCUCAACUGUCUCAACCAUAGACUCGGCGAAAUUGCACUACGAGUAAAGAUGCUCGUUACGCGCGGCAGGACGAAAAGACCCCGGGACCUUCACUACAACUUGGUAUUGAUGUUCGGUACGGUUUGUGUAGGAUAGGUGGGAGACUGUGAAACCUCGACGCCAGUUGGGGCGGAGUCGUUGUUGAAAUACCACUCUGAUCGUAUUGGGCAUCUAACCUCGAACCCUGAAUCGGGUUUAGGGACAGUGCCUGGCGGGUAGUUUAACUGGGGCGGUUGCCUCCUAAAAUGUAACGGAGGCGCCCAAAGGUUCCCUCAACCUGGACGGCAAUCAGGUGGCGAGUGUAAAUGCACAAGGGAGCUUGACUGCGAGACUUACAAGUCAAGCAGGGACGAAAGUCGGGAUUAGUGAUCCGGCACCCCCGAGUGGAAGGGGUGUCGCUCAACGGAUAAAAGGUACCCCGGGGAUAACAGGCUGAUCUUCCCCAAGAGUCCAUAUCGACGGGAUGGUUUGGCACCUCGAUGUCGGCUCGUCGCAUCCUGGGGCUGGAGCAGGUCCCAAGGGUUGGGCUGUUCGCCCAUUAAAGCGGCACGCGAGCUGGGUUUAGAACGUCGUGAGACAGUUCGGUCUCUAUCCGCCGCGCGCGUCAGAAACUUGAGGAAACCUGUCCCUAGUACGAGAGGACCGGGACGGACGAACCUCUGGUGCACCAGUUGUCCCGCCAGGGGCACCGCUGGAUAGCCACGUUCGGUCAGGAUAACCGCUGAAAGCAUCUAAGCGGGAAACCUUCUCCAAGAUCAGGUUUCUCACCCACUUGGUGGGAUAAGGCCCCCCGCAGAACACGGGUUCAAUAGGUCAGACCUGGAAGCUCAGUAAUGGGUGUAGGGAACUGGUGCUAACCGGCCGAAAACUUACAACA